Molecule: ribosomal RNA, 433 nt
Filed under: uncultured bacterium
Lineage: Bacteria
Description: partial 16S ribosomal RNA
Rfam family: Bacterial small subunit ribosomal RNA
Source: RNAcentral
AACGAACGCUGGCGGCAUGCCUAACACAUGCAAGUCGAACGAGACCUUCGGGUCUAGUGGCGCACGGGUGCGUAACGCGUGGGAACCUGCCCUUAGGUUCGGAAUAACUCCCCUAAAGGGGUGCUAAUACCGGAUAAUGUCUUCGGACCAAAGAUUUAUCGCCUUUGGAUGGGCCCGCGUUGGCUUAGCUAGUUGGUAGUGUAAAAGCCUACCAAGGAGACGAUCCAUAGCUGGUCGGAGAGGAUGAUUAGCCACACUGGGACUGAGACACGGCCCAGACUCCUACGGGAGGCAGCAGUGGGGAAUAUUGGACAAUGGGCGAAAGCCUGAUACAGCAAUGCCGCGUGAGUGAUGAAGGCCUUAGGGUUGUAAAGCUCUUUUACCCGGGAUGAUAAUGACAGUACCGGGAGAAUAAGCACCGGCUAACUCCGUG